This 369-nucleotide unclassified non-coding RNA is filed under the name uncultured Malasseziales. Its description in RNAcentral is "sequence contains 5.8S rRNA gene, ITS2, 28S rRNA gene". Lineage: Eukaryota; Fungi; Basidiomycota; Malasseziomycetes; Malasseziales. The record is from RNAcentral.
AACGCACCUUGCGCUCUAUGGCAAUCCGUAGAGCAUGCCUGUUUGAGUGCCAUAAAAUCUCCCACCCCAAGCGGUUUUUACAUGAAACGGCUUGGCGGAUGGGGUCUGGAUGGGUGCCUCUGCCUGCGCUACCUAGCACAGGCUCGCCCGAAAUGCAUGAGCGCCUUGAGACACUUCGCAUCCGCCUCUCUGUUUGGGAGGAGGCGGCCAAGCAGUGUUUUUCUCCUGGCAUGGCAUGAUACGUCAUUUGCUAUGUCGCCUAAAGGAGGAAUGUUUGGUUGUGUCUGCGUGUGCUUCGAACUUGCCUCUGUGGCACAUCCCAAUUUCACUUCUGGUCUCAAAUCAGGUAGGAUCACCCGCUGAACUUAA